UGCAAUUGUUUCUUUUCAGUUCGUGUAAAUCUUUCGCUUUUUACUAAAGAGUUCUGUGGAACAAGAGCUUAGAGAAUAAACAAGUUUUUGGUGUCCUGCAUGAAUGCAGAGG
This 112-nucleotide small nuclear RNA is filed under the name Monopterus albus (swamp eel). Its description in RNAcentral is "U5 spliceosomal RNA (ENSMALG00000014960.1)". It matches the Rfam family "U5 spliceosomal RNA". From Rfam's summary of the family: U5 RNA is a component of both types of known spliceosome. The record is from RNAcentral. Lineage: Eukaryota; Metazoa; Chordata; Actinopteri; Synbranchiformes; Synbranchidae.